Molecule: unclassified non-coding RNA, 240 nt
Filed under: soil metagenome
Description: partial contains 5.8S ribosomal RNA, internal transcribed spacer 2, and large subunit ribosomal RNA
Source: RNAcentral
AAGACUAUAGACCUGCGGAGUACCUGCGGAAGGAUCAUUAACGAGUUAGGGUCUUCCAAGGCCCGACCUCCCAACCCUUUGUUUACUGAACCUCUGUUGCUUCGGCGGACCCGUCUCACGACCGCCGGAGGACCGCUGAAAGGCGUCCUCUGGCCAGCGUCCGCCGGUGGCCAACCUCUUAAAACCCUGAAUGAAUCGUGUCAUGAUGUCUAAGUAAAUGAUUAAAUAAAAGCAAAACUU